Long non-coding RNA from Hyaena hyaena (striped hyena), 902 nucleotides. RefSeq lists it as uncharacterized. NCBI's taxonomy places the organism in Eukaryota, Metazoa, Chordata, Mammalia, Carnivora, Hyaenidae. The record is from RefSeq and is a predicted model, not a curated record. The transcript has 2 exons.
UCUCCCCUUCAGUGGGCCCGCCAAGCUCGCUUCCUCCUGGACCACUUCCCGCUGUCCCCCGGGAUCCUGGGACCCGAGCAAGGAGGGGCUGCCGCUCCCGCGCUCUCACCCACCCCUGCAGGCCCCGGGUGUCAUCUCUUGCAACAGCUGACUGUGACGCCUCCACCACUCUGGUGUCACUUUUAACACCGCACGUUCACACCACCGGCUGACUGUCUGCGCAAGGAGGCCCCAGCGGAGGCGCGUGCAGCCGCACCCCACAUGUGGAGCUGUUAAUCCGGCAGUUGUUCAGCAGGUCUCUUGGCCUCACCUCCAAACGUGUUACUUCUGGAGAGAACGACACCACGGAACUGCACCAGCUUUCUCAAGGAGUGCCAGGACUCGCCUGUCCUGCGUCGGCCAGGAGGGGAAGGGGGGUGGGGGGGAGGAGGCAUUUCGGAGGAGGCGCCGUGUAAAGAUCUGGGGUCUGGACCCCCACCCCCCACCCCCUACACACAGUUCCGCAAAUCAGGAAAAGAAGACGACGACGAGAAAAGGGAAACGGGAAAUUGUGUCACCACGCCACUUAAGUGUGUUUUAUUAAAUCUGCACUUUCCUAUGUUUUCAAGGAGUUCGCGGCAUGAUGGCGCCGCUGAAGGAUUUCAUUUCCGCACCCUUUGGAGCAGGCAUAGCCACGUGACUUGCUCUGGCCAAUGAAAUGUGAGGGAAGUAAUUCGUCACUUCCGGGUGAAGUCGGUGGUGUUUGCCGGCUGGCGUUCCAUUCCGCAGCCGGGAGAGCAUGGUUGAUGCAGAAGGCCCACAAGGUAACAGGCGCCACCACACAGGGGACAGAACCCCUAGAAGUCACCUGGACCACUGUGCUCUGGGUAUGAGCAGAAAUAAACGUUUUAAAUGUUAAAUCA